UGGGGAAUUUUGGACAAUGGGGGCAACCCUGAUCCAGCAAUGCCGCGUGAGUGAAGAAGGCCUUCGGGUUGUAAAGCUCUUUUGUCAGGGAAGAAAUCGUCCGGGCUAAUACCCUGGGCGGAUGACGGUACCUGAAGAAUAAGCACCGGCUAACUACGUGCCAGCAGCCGCGGUAAUACGUAGGGUGCAAGCGUUAAUCGGAAUUACUGGGCGUAAAGCGUGCGCAGGCGGUUUUGUAAGACUGUCGUGAAAUCCCCGGGCUUAACCUGGGAAUGGCGAUGGUGACUGCAAGGCUAGAGUUUGGCGGAGGGGGGUAGAAUUCCACGUGUAGCAGUGAAAUGCGUAGAGAUGUGGAGGAACACCGAUGGCGAAGGCAGCCCCCUGGGUCAAGACUGACGCUCAUGCACGAAAGCGUGGGGAGCAAACAGGAUUAGAUACCCUGGUAGUCCACGCCCUAAACGAUGUCUACUAGUUGUCGGGUUUUAAUUAACUUGGUAACGCAGCUAACGCGUGAAGUAGACCGCCUGGGGAGUACGGUCGCAAGAUUAA
Molecule: ribosomal RNA, 549 nt
Filed under: uncultured Oxalobacteraceae bacterium
Lineage: Bacteria; Pseudomonadati; Pseudomonadota; Betaproteobacteria; Burkholderiales; Oxalobacteraceae
Description: bacterial SSU rRNA
Rfam family: Bacterial small subunit ribosomal RNA
Source: RNAcentral